Molecule: long non-coding RNA, 292 nt
Filed under: Dendronephthya gigantea
Lineage: Eukaryota; Metazoa; Cnidaria; Anthozoa; Malacalcyonacea; Nephtheidae
Description: uncharacterized LOC114525557, transcript variant X1
Source: RNAcentral
AACAUCGAAGGGAUGAAGGUUCCAGGCAUUGCGCUACUGUCAACUGCUGUCGACAGUUUUGUCGAUAUUUCACAUACAGAAUUCAAAGAAUUGCAAAGUACGCUUGUACGGGAGCCGGGGACAAUAGGGAUAUACUUCGGCAAAAACAGGGAAUGCACCUUGGAGCAAAUGAUUAAAAGGAAACACGUUUGCCAGAAAAGAGCGUACCGAAUUCCUCUGGGGAAACUGAUGCCAUUCACGCAACAUAUGAUAGCCCAGUGGAAUUCGGGAUGAUGCCCCCAAUGAGAGUGAU